Rhagoletis pomonella (apple maggot) is the source of this 482-nucleotide long non-coding RNA. RefSeq lists it as uncharacterized. The transcript is spliced from 2 exons. NCBI's taxonomy places the organism in Eukaryota, Metazoa, Arthropoda, Insecta, Diptera, Tephritidae. The record is from RefSeq and is a predicted model, not a curated record.
AAUUUGUUGAUUCAGUUUGCCGCGAACUCUACAAUCGGAAAGUUGUUCCUAGUGAGAAAAGUGCAAUUGUUCGGGAGAAAGGCAUCGUGCCAGUAGAGAACACGAGCAGUGCCGGUAAAAUUUGAAGUGAUUUGUUGAAGACUGCCACACCACCACGGCGCGGGGGGUUGGUGCGAUUUGUUGUGGGUGGAACGCGCGAGGUGAACGGGCGAGUGUUUAGCGAGAAAUGCGUGCGUGACAAAAGCAUCUUAGAAGAGCUGGCGCUAAUGACAGCUGAGGCAAUUAGAGAUAUGGCAAAAUGCACUGCAACCAAGAAAAGGUUAACUAAACUGUUGAAGAAUUAAAAUUGAAAAAGAAUUCGAUAAAGUGAAAUACGAGUAUCACCCGCGGCUUACUGACUCAGUGAGCGGAUAUGUAUGUACGUGUCAAUAGAUACCAAAUAGUGUUCGUUUAAAGAAAAACAGUUUAAAACAAAUACUAAA